GCUAAGUAAAGUUCGUGGAAAUAAGAUAAGUUUACUACUCAUCUUUAAUGCGUCUGCUCUUGCUUCUCGAAAAGCUCACGAUAGCAAAUAUCGGAGAAUGAAAAAUGUCAAUGUUACGGCAUUACAGCAGUUUCAGAACGGUGCUUGUAGAUAACUUUUGAAUGUUUAAUGGUUCGUCGGUUUCUCACGGACCUGUGCAGCGGAAAACGAAGCCACGGGAUCCGCGUCUAAGUUGAGGAAGACACCCCCACGGUUGCCAUAUUUCAUCCCGAAAGCUAGAGAUAACAAACCUGCGUCGGAUCUAACGAAAUCUAAAUCACCAUCAAAAUUUUCAUGGAAUCGUAUUACUAGUAACAUUCGGAGAUCCAUCACAGGUUCCGGAUCACUAUCUCGAAGCGAAUCACUUUGUUCGAACAACUCUUUCAACUCCAUGUGCUCCAGCACUGGGAAACUCGUCAGUUCUUCAACCAAAGGUGUCGGAAAAAAUUUAAAAAAGCUGAAAAGUAUGGGUCUGGAUUCCGGAAGAAAAAUCGUUAGGGGAGCAAUGGGCAGCUUAAGCCGAAGUUUCAGCGGACGUUCGUCGUCUAGGAGGAGUGACGGAAAUUCGUUGCCUCGGGAAAGGGACCACAAAACCUCACGCACCAAUUCUGCCGGCGAUCAGUGGGAAAUUGACCAAAAACCUAACCCUUCAAUUCCACCAACAGCAUCACUCAUUAAUCUGCCAAAAAUAUUAACGCCACCCACCUGUGUUACUCCAUCUCCUGCCCCUAAAAGACCCAGCCCCCCGUCUACCGCCACCAACAGUCCAAAAGCUUCGUCAAAGCCCUCUUCUAGACCCUUAUCUCCGACUUUGCCGAAGACCCCGCACCCUAAAUCCUCACCUCAGCGCUCACCGAAACCCUCUCGUGAACCUUCCCCCUCAGCCUCGCCCCCUUCUGCGUGUAAUAUUCUACCACGCAUCGGACCCAUAGGUCCAGACGUUUGUCUAUCAGAUGCUUUGAACAGACUUGCAUCGGAAGGUGCAUUCGAAGGUCAAUUGGAAGGUGUACCCAGGAGUGCAUCUGGGACUGGUUUUAGGAGUCCGCCGCGAAGUGAUUUCAGAAGUGAAUAUAUUCUAACAUCUAAGGACCAGCCAAAGAGCAACGACUUGCCCAAAUGCCCAACUGGACCUAAGUCUCUCUCAAGGAGUCGCUCUAGGUCUCCUCAGCGGAGCCCACUCAGAUCUCCCAUUCGUAGUCCACCCAAACCCUCUUCACAGAGUCCAACCAAACCCUCUUCACCGAGUCUAAACAAACCCUCCCCACAGAGUCCAACCAAACCCUCUUCACUGAGUCCAACCAAACCCUCUUCACAGAGUCCAACCAAACCCUCUUCACUGAGUCCAACCAAGCCCUCCUCAAAGAGUCUACCCAAGCCCUCUUCACGGAGUUCACACAAGCCUCCUACUCCGAGUCCACCGAAGCCCAUACCAGUGAGUCCUCCCAAGCCAAGCCAGAGAAGCCAUAAACCUAUGCCCAUUCCUCUUCCUGGUGGAAACAGAAAAGUUCCUCGCAAACCUAUGCCUUAUUUUAAGGGUCCUGACGACCGUGCCCGUGCUGAUGGCCAUGACUGGGACAGUCAGGACCCUCAGGAGCAUCUUUUUCAGGAAAUGCAAAAAAGGCUCCUCUCUUACUUCCCAAUGAAAAAAGCUCCUAACAGAGAGGAGUUCCGAAUUUUCCUGGCAGAUGUUCACGACAUUCAAAUGGAACAGAGAGCAAGAAGAGGUCCACGAGCCUCUAAAGACUUUCUUGAAAGAUUCUGCCUGACAUCGGUCCCUACCAUCCAGAAAGACGCGGUCAAUACUGCUGCCUUGAAACAAGACUGCGCGACACUGUGCGCCGAUGCCUAUGGCUACAUAUUCAAACCGUCCGAGUGGGAAGAUCCCAAAAACGAACUCGACUUCUUCGCUUGCGGGACACUCAUUCCAAUAACCCGCGGUGACGUCUGCGUCAGCCCCCCACCCCAGUUCAUUAGCCCCGAUGAAAUAAAGUUCGAUUGCGUGUGCAGGACAACCGUUGACUUCGAGAGGGCCAUGGACAGCCAAAAAAUUGGGUUGACGGAGUUUUACCGAGCAAAGCAAAGGUCCUCGAUUGAGGCGCUGGGCUGGUUACGCAAGACUUUGGAGGAAAACGAUAGUGAGUUUGAGGUGGUGACAAUGGAGGACUUUCAGCUGAAGAUCAAAGCUCUCUUCAGGAAAUACAACGUUCCUGAUCCUGACGUCAACUAUCAUUUAAAGUACCUGCAGAGCCGACAAGCUGGCGGACAGAGUGAGGAAAAGGCGGACGCGAAAUACUGGGAGGACAUGAUGUUCAGACGAUGAGUCCCAGCGCCCGGCUCUCGAAAGACGCAUUUAGUGUGACGUCACAUCUCGUUAUAAUUUCAAUAGACGCAUUUAGUGGUGACGUCACGGAGCGAUAUUGUUGGUUCGAUAUCUCGAAAGUCGAAAUGUGCCCCUACAAACAAACAUAACCUCCAAAAUGAACAAUUAUUGACGAAAUAAUACUAAAACUAGCCUGAAACCAAACAACUAAUCCAUAGGACUUCAAAAUUAUGAAAGCUAGUCAUUUACCAAAACGUUCGAGAUCACAAUCACAAGAAUUGAUUGUAUAACAAGCUCGUAAUAUCAUAGACAGUCAUCAAGUGAAUCCCCCUACCCCUCCUGCCUAUAUACCGCAGAUUCCUCUAUGUUAGUUUGUUGGGGCACGUUUCGACUUUCGAGGUAUCGAAAUUAUAACGAGAUGUAACGUCACACUGAAUACGUCUAUACCUCGAAAGUCGUAACGUGCCCCAACAAACGAACAUGAAGGAAUCUGCGUGAAUCUGCGGGAUAUAUGCAGGGGGGUAGGGGGAUUCACUUGAUGACUGUCUAUGAUAUUGUACGAGCUUAUUAUACCAUCAAUUAUUGUAAUUGUGAUUUCGAACGUUUUUGUAAAUGACUAGCUUUCAUGAUUUUAAGGUCCCAUGGAUUAAUUGUUUAGUUCCAGGCUAGUUUUAGCAUUAUUUCGUGAAUUGUUUAUUUUGGAGGUUAUGUUUGUUUGUUGGGGUACAUUUCGAUUUUCGAUAUAUCGAACCAACAAUAUCGCUCCGUGUCGUCAUCACUAAAUGCGUCUAUAGACGCGUUGUUAAAGUCAGAAUUGCGACUUCUGAGUUAUCCGCUGAGUUGCUGAGCUCAUCAGCGAAGGUGUUGUUAAACGUUUUCUGAAGUUAUCCGCUGAGCUGCCAGUUUGUAAAAAAAGGCCGCCAUCCUCUCAGCAAAAUUGGUCAGCGCUCAGCCAGGGUCCGCGGUCCGCUGAGCUGGCUGAGCUGCUAUUACUACGUCAUAGGCAUUAUUUGUGUUUGUAUCGCUAAGCGGAUAACUCCAAAAUGGUGGACUGACGUCAUUUCGCUGACUUCACUUUUUUAGUUAACAACGCGUCUUAUGGUUCCUCUCGUAAUCUGCGUUUGUUAAUUCUGUAUAAUUAAUAAUUCAAUAAUUUUCAAUACUUCCUAAAGCAGUAACCAUGUG
Molecule: long non-coding RNA, 3544 nt
Filed under: Bemisia tabaci
Lineage: Eukaryota; Metazoa; Arthropoda; Insecta; Hemiptera; Aleyrodidae
Description: lncRNA ENSSSA1NGG006911
Source: RNAcentral